Molecule: ribosomal RNA, 472 nt
Filed under: uncultured bacterium
Lineage: Bacteria
Description: bacterial SSU rRNA
Rfam family: Bacterial small subunit ribosomal RNA
Source: RNAcentral
GACGAACGCUGGCGGCAUGCCUAAUACAUGCAAGUCGAGCGAAUGAAGAAGAAGCUUGCUUCUUUCUGAUUUAGCGGCGGACGGGUGAGUAACACGUGGGCAACCUGCCCUGUAGAUUGGGAUAACUCCGGGAAACCGGGGCUAAUACCGAAUAACCCAUUUCCUCACAUGUGGAAAUGUUAAAAGACGGUCUCGGCUGUCACUACAGGAUGGGCCCGCGGCGCAUUAGCUAGUUGGUAGGGUAACGGCCUACCAAGGCGACGAUGCGUAGCCGACCUGAGAGGGUGAUCGGCCACACUGGGACUGAGACACGGCCCAGACUCCUACGGGAGGCAGCAGUAGGGAAUCUUCCACAAUGGACGAAAGUCUGAUGGAGCAAUGCCGCGUGAGUGAAGAAGGUUUUCGGAUCGUAAAACUCUGUUGUGAGGGAAGAACAAGUACGAGAGUAACUGCUCGUACCUUGACGGUACCU